GAUGAAGAACGUAGCGAAAUGCGAUACGUAAUGUGAAUUGCAGAAUUCAGUGAAUCAUCGAGUCUUUGAACGCACAUUGCGCCCCCUGGUAUUCCGGGGGGCAUGCCUGUCCGAGCGUCAUUGCUGCCCUCAAGCACGGCUUGUGUGUUGGGCCUCCGUCCUCCUCCCGGGGGACGGGCCCGAAAGGCAGCGGCGGCACCGCGUCCGGUCCUCGAGCGUAUGGGGCUUCGUCACCCGCUCUUGUAGGCCCGGCCGGCGCUUGCCGACACAUCAAUCUUUUUUCCAGGUUGACCUCGGAUCAGAUAGGGAUACCCGCUGAACUUAAGCAUAUCAAUAAGCGGAGGA
RNAcentral lists this unclassified non-coding RNA (345 nucleotides) under soil metagenome. RNAcentral describes it as "partial contains 5.8S ribosomal RNA, internal transcribed spacer 2, and large subunit ribosomal RNA". The stretch from base 1 to 120 matches the Rfam family "5.8S ribosomal RNA", at positions 35 to 154 of the family's 154-position model. The record is from RNAcentral.